UUCCGGUUGAUCCUGCCGGAGGCGACCGCUUUUGGAGUUCGAUUAAGCCAUGCGAGUCGAGAGCCUUAGGGGCUCGGCAUACUGCUCAGUAACACGUGGAUAACCUGCCCUAUUGUCUGGAAUAACCUCGGGAAACUGAGAACAAGGCCGGAUAACCCACAAUGCCUGGAACGGUUUGUGGGUGAAGAUAGGAUGGGUCUGCGGCGUAUCAGGUCGUAGGGGGUGUAAUGGACCUCCUAGCCAUCGACGCGUACGGGUGUUGGGAGACAUAGCCCGGAGAUGGAUUCUGAGACACGAAUCCAGACCCUACGGGGUGCAGCAGGCGCGAAAACUUCACACUGCAGGAAACUGUGAUGAGGGAACUCCAAGUGCAUGCACUAUGUGUAUGCUUUUCUUAACUAUUAAUCGGUUUUGGAAUAAGGGCUGGGAAAGACCGGUGCCAGCCGCCGCGGUAAUACCGGCAGCUCAAGUGGUCGUCGCUUUUAUUGGGCCUAAAACGUCCGUAGCCUGUUUGGUAAAUCUGUGGGUAAAUCAACCAGCUUAACUGGUUGAAUUCUGCAGAGACUGCCAGACUAGGGACCGGGAGAGGUGUGGGGUACUCUAGGGGUAGGGGUAAAAUCCUGUCAUCCUUAGAGGACCACCAGUUGCGAAGGCGCCACACUGGAACGGAUCCGACGGUCAGGGACGAAGCCUAGGGGCACGAACCGGAUUAGAUACCCGGGUAGUCCUAGGUGUAAACGCUGUGAACUUGGUGUCGGGGAUCCGUAAUGGGUUCUCGGUGCCGGAGUGAAGAUGUUAAGUUCACUGCCUGGGGAGUACGGUCGCAAGGCUGAAACUUAAAGGAAUUGGCGGGGGAGCACUGCAACGGGAGGAGCGUGCGGUUUAAUUGGAUCAACGCCGGA
This 902-nucleotide ribosomal RNA is filed under the name uncultured archaeon. RNAcentral describes it as "bacterial SSU rRNA". It matches the Rfam family "Archaeal small subunit ribosomal RNA", at positions 1 to 922 of the family's 1478-position model. The record is from RNAcentral.